UGAGGAAUAUUGGUCAAUGGACGCAAGUCUGAACCAGCCAAGUAGCGUGAAGGAUGACUGCCCUAUGGGUUGUAAACUUCUUUUAUAUGGGAAUAAAGCGGGGUAUGUAUACCCCUUUGCAUGUACCAUACGAAUAAGGAUCGGCUAACUCCGUGCCAGCAGCCGCGGUAAUACGGAGGAUCCAAGCGUUAUCCGGAUUUAUUGGGUUUAAAGGGAGCGUAGGCGGAUAUUUAAGUCAGUUGUGAAAGUUUGCGGCUCAACCGUAAAAUUGCAGUUGAUACUGGAUAUCUUGAGUGCAGCAGAGGUAGGCGGAAUUCGUGGUGUAGCGGUGAAAUGCUUAGAUAUCACGAAGAACUCCGAUUGCGAAGGCAGCUUACUGGACUGUAACUGACGCUGAUGCUCGAAAGUGUGGGUAUCAAACA
This 422-nucleotide ribosomal RNA is filed under the name uncultured Bacteroides sp. RNAcentral describes it as "partial 16S ribosomal RNA". It matches the Rfam family "Bacterial small subunit ribosomal RNA", at positions 355 to 774 of the family's 1533-position model. The record is from RNAcentral. Lineage: Bacteria; Pseudomonadati; Bacteroidota; Bacteroidia; Bacteroidales; Bacteroidaceae.